This 83-nucleotide transfer RNA is filed under the name Jannaschia rubra. Its description in RNAcentral is "tRNA-Thr". Lineage: Bacteria; Pseudomonadati; Pseudomonadota; Alphaproteobacteria; Rhodobacterales; Roseobacteraceae. The record is from RNAcentral.
CCCGUUGAUCCGGCGCGGUUUUGUUGCCGAAGCGCCAUAGUAAGGCGCAAAGAACGCCGCGUUCGAUUCGUGACGUUGGGUCC